UACGUAGGGACCGAGCGUUGUCCGGAAUCAUUGGGCGUAAAGAGCGUGUAGGCGGCUAUUUAAGUCCUGCGUGAAAUCCUGCGGCUCAACCGCAGACGGUCGUGGGAAACUGGAUGGCUAGAGUGCGGGAGAGGAGAGUGGAAUUCCGGUGUAGCGGUGAAAUGCGCAGAUAUCAGGAAGAACACCCGUGGCGAAGGCGGUUCUCUGGGACGGUACUGACGCUGAGACGCGAAAGCGUGGGGAGCGAACAGG
RNAcentral lists this ribosomal RNA (252 nucleotides) under uncultured bacterium. Its description in RNAcentral is "partial 16S ribosomal RNA". It matches the Rfam family "Bacterial small subunit ribosomal RNA", at positions 524 to 776 of the family's 1533-position model. The record is from RNAcentral.